UGCCGGCGACCGGCGGACGGGUGCGUAACGCGUAUGUAACCUACCUUUGACAGGGGGAUAACAUCGAGAAAUUGGUACUAAUACCCCAUAACAUCACCGGAGGCAUCCUCGGUGGUUGAAAACUCAGGUGGUCAGAGAUGGACAUGCGUUGUAUUAGCUAGUUGGUGAGGUAACGGCUCACCAAGGCGACGAUACAUAGGGGGACUGAGAGGUCAACCCCCCACAUUGGUACUGAGACACGGACCAAACUCCUACGGAAGGCAGCAG
This 267-nucleotide ribosomal RNA is filed under the name uncultured bacterium. Its description in RNAcentral is "partial 16S ribosomal RNA". It matches the Rfam family "Bacterial small subunit ribosomal RNA", at positions 86 to 354 of the family's 1533-position model. The record is from RNAcentral.